GCAGAAUUGUCAAAUUUCAACAUGACUCCGUCUCCUCCUUCAUUUAAUUUCUUCAUUCCAAUUAAUUGUAGUUGGAAGCAUGUUGUCAUUCCAAACUUAUUUUUGCCGGGUGAAUGCACUAAAUGCUAAAGUCCAAUUUCUUAUUUCUUUGUUCACGCUUUCAUUUCCUAAUAUAUGAUUCUCAAAGACAUUCAUGAUGAAGGUGAAAUUAAUGAGUCUGACAGUGUUUAUUUUAAUCACCGUUUUGGGCAUGUUCUGUUCACCAGCCGAGUCCAUCCAUUUCAACACAGAAGACCUAUCAGAGGACAAACUAAGAAAUCUUAGAGAAGAGGAAAUACUGAAGGAAGCAAGUGAAAUACGGGCAAAGGCGAAGACUUAUUUAGACGCGCUGAGCAUUUUCGACUUGACCAGCAACCGGUCUUUCGGAAAUAGCUGCGCGCGCCUUGCAAAAUCUAUCAAGCCCAUAAUCUCGCCUGUGAAAGACUUUGAGCGGGAAUACAGCGCACCGCUCUUUGUUUACCCAAGCUGGAAACCAGAAAUAUUCCCAGAGGUAUAUUUUCGAUUUUUUCCAUUCGGGAGUAGCCCCAAGGAUGAGAAUGAUAUUGACGUGGUCAUCCGAAGGGAAGAUGGAACUCUUUUCGCAUUCAAAAGCUAUCUGUCGUUUGGUCAUGAGACUGCUGCCGGAAUUUUGUAUCGGAUCGGAACCAAGAAUGUGUCGGGGUGGUUCCUACGAGGACUCAAAAAGCCAAUUACGCACACGGUGGUUACAGGGAUCGAGUUUCUUCAAGACGCUAUCCGAUUUUCGUUCCUGAGGGAAAGACAGGAUCAAACGCAGCCUCUGGUUGUUGAAGUCGUAAGAACGAUCUGAUAUGAGAUUUAAGUUCAAGUUCCAGCGAAUCCGGUUUGCUUAGAGUGAGCCUGUUUUUCUUUGAAACCAUUGCGUCUGUUACGUUCUUAUUUGCGUUAAUGUUACCAUGAGGUUAAGAGUCGGUCCCUUAGUAAAUACUUUAAUUCUAAAUUGAAGAGAGCAAUGGGAAGUUUGAAUUGGCAAUGUUGUCAGUUGCGCUGGUCAUAGAAUCGUAUUUUGAUGCUUGAUAUUUGUAGAUCAGCAAAAAAUCAUUAGAUCUGCCUAAACAGUAGUCUUUCAACGUUCAAUAUUAAUCGAGAUAUCGCCCUUUGAAAAGACGGGUUUUUGACGUCAUCCACCGCGGUGGUGACACCCUUGUUUUCUUCCACCUUGCUUUCAUCAGUCAGGGAGACACACAUUUGCACUGGUUACUCGAUGUGAAACUCGGAUGAAAGCAAGGUGAAAGAAACCAAGAGUGUCACUAACACGGUGCAGGAUGACGUUAUAAACCGAAUAUUUCGAAGCACGAUGUCUCGGUCAAUAUGAAACGCAAAAAGUUGCUGUUAGGGCAGAUCUUAUUAUUUUUAAACUUAUCUACAAGAAUCAAGCAACAAAACACGAUUCUUUAUGACCAGCGCAACUGAUCCAUUGUUGGAAAAACAUUCCUGCAGCUCGAUUAUGUCGGCCUGACAUGACAAGACAUAGCCCUAUCUUUACCUCGUUGUAUAUAUCGCAAUGCGAUGUCUAAUCGGGCUGCUUUAAACUCUCAUUAUUUGGCUCGCUGGAGUGAAGAAAUUUUCAAUAUCACGGGGAGUGUUAGGAAUGCCGGUGGUUUCAGCAGGAAAUUCUCACUUUUGUCAAUUAUUAAACAUUAAUUGUAACUUCCAAUGCAGAGACCAGUUGAGGUUUUUUUUAUGUUGAACUUUUGAAGGAGGUCGCAAAUUAAUCGGAGCUAUAUCUGCGGUUAGGGCCGCUCGAACAAGCUGCAAGCGUGCUCUCGACGCUUGAUUAAGAAACGUGAAAAAAAAUCCUAACAGGAGUGAGCUUGCAAACUUCGCCUCUCCUGCUCUCAUUUUCCGCUUGCUUUUUUUCUCCCGAACUGACCACCAUUAGAAGAUUAAAAUCGAUACAGCUGCUCGACGCUCGCAAGGAGAAUGGGAACACGUCCAGCGGGUCGAUUGUUGAAUCGCUAUCGAAUGACCUUGAUCGAUAUAUACCAUUGUUAAGAUAGGGAGUUAUCGAUCGAUUUCAAUCGAUAACGAUUCAACAAUCGACCCGCAGGUUUUAAAAAAGGUCGAGCGAGAUCGCCAGAACCUGGGAUAACUAAUAUCAAACGUAGCUACUUGCAAUCAUAUCUCUUUAUUAGUUGAAAAGACGUUUUAUUGACGAUUGAUAUUAAGAUACACACUGGGAAAAAAAACACAUUGGAUCUAGAGUCCAGACUCUUAAAAACAUCGACAAGAAAAAAUACUCUUGAUUCAAUUGGAUUUUUGCUUCAAUCAAGAACCAAGCCUCUUAAGAGCGGAUUUCCUUUUGAUUUAAGCUUAAAUCUGAUUGAAUCAAGAGUAUUUUUUCUUGUCAAUGUUUUCAAGAGUCUGGACUCUAGAUCCAAUGUGUGUUUUUUUUCCAGUGCAGGAACAGACACAAUAAAAUUAAAACUAAGUGUAUUUCUUUUGUCACACUAGGUGACUUUAAAAUUUCCUAGGAAACGCACCCAGAUCCGUAGAAACGUUUUGCCUCACAACAAAACUGCACGAGAAAAAUUUGGAAGAAAUUUGGAAGAGCUUGUGUGUGAAAACAAACAAAUGCCGGGGACGUUUUGGGGUGGUUUCGACCUCCUUUUGAGCAGGAAAUAGAAAUAAAAGGUCUCCUUUUUCCUAUCACAAAUGGGGGCUAAGCUUUUUUGAUUUUGUUGUACUUUUAUUAAUGUUUCCCUCUCAAAAAGGUGGUUGAAACUACCGCGAAACGUUUCAGGUAUUUUUUUUCCUAGCCUUGAUUUCUAUUUUUAUUGUGUUUGUUUUCGUUAAAUUAUUCAGACCAUCUUCGUAUGCUUUUCUUUAGCAUCAAAUGUCCACUGAAAGUGUAACAUGAAUGGAAAUAUACAGAAUUAUGAUUAUUUCACCAUGAGUAAAAUUAUUUUCAAUCGCCAAGCCCGAAUCUUGAAUUCCCGUUUUUUUCAUACUUUUGUAAAUGAGAUUUGGUCUCAAGAGAGUUAAUAUGGGAUGUAAUGUAUUUGAAUGAAUCUAUAUAACUGCUUGAUUGCUUAACGAAGGAUUACCAAAUUCACUGAAACCGCCUCUGUUUCGUUGAAUAUACUAUUUGAAUUCCCGGGAGUAGAAAUAGAUGCUCAUGAUCAAAGCAUACUCCCGGCAAAAACCACUUAGACCAGCUUAGUAAGACAUUCCGGUAACGAUUUACCGCGGUUUCCCAUAGUUCCUUCAUUUCAUUGCGUAUGCAAUUUGAUUUACAGGGAGUUUAAAAAAUUGCUCACGGUCAAUUAUACUCUCGGCACUAGGCCCCUUGAAAGACGCACGACAUCUCGGCAACGAGUCGCUGCGGUCAAUCAAAGUUCCUUCAUUUCUUUGCGUAUGCAAUUUGAUCUCCAGGGAGUUUGAAUAGUUCCUCACGAUCAAAUUAUACAUACUCGGCAGACUCCUUAAACAAAAUCCGGAAAGUUGCUAACGGCCAAAUCAUAGCCCAGGCAGCGCCCUGCUUAAAGCAGAAUUUCUCACCGACUAAUAACUGCGCUGCGGUCACUCAAAAUUCCCUCAUUUCGUUUUAUAUGCAGUUUAAUUUCCUAAGAGUCAAAACACUUGCUCAAAGGCAAACUGCAAGGCAGUACCUAUCAUCAAUUAUUUAAUAUCACGGUUGCGGGAAAAAUGUACAAAAUCUUAAAUUACUGUGCAGUUGCAAUUACGAUUUUAUUAAACUUAAAAGAGCUGAGUAGUAAUGAUGAUCUAGAUAAAGCGAAUUAUCAAAGAAACAUGUUAACGCGGUUAUCAUUUCAAGAAUAAUUCCUUUUAAAUAAAUUGUUGGCAAUGGAAUUCUGCAUAAAAUUUUAAUAGCUGUAUUGAAUCUAAUUUUUGAAAUUUUUAAGUUUCCUCUAAUUCUAGAAAUCUUGUUUUCUGUUGCUUGUAACUCUUAAACAAUGACAAUAAAACUUGUGUGCAACCGAUGAGAAACCCUAAUUAU
This 4039-nucleotide long non-coding RNA is filed under the name Bemisia tabaci. Its description in RNAcentral is "lncRNA ENSASIAIIG010583". Lineage: Eukaryota; Metazoa; Arthropoda; Insecta; Hemiptera; Aleyrodidae. The record is from RNAcentral.